Molecule: unclassified non-coding RNA, 414 nt
Filed under: fungal sp.
Lineage: Eukaryota; Fungi
Description: partial internal transcribed spacer region
Rfam family: Eukaryotic small subunit ribosomal RNA (bases 1-46)
Source: RNAcentral
AAGUCGUAACAAGGUCUCCGUAGGUGAACCUGCGGAGGGAUCAUUAACACUAUUUGAUAAAAUAUUUGUUUACUCAAGUAUUUUUCAAAUUUCCACACACAUUGCGAACUCGUUGAUUUAUUCUUUUAGAAAUAAAAAAAUAAAUUAACCUACUAUAACUGCCCCAAAGUUUAGGUUGCCGACGCGACAAGUGAACGAUUUUUAUCUUCUUUCAUGCGUGCGAGAGGUUAAAAAACGUGGCUCCGCUUCCGUACUUUGGCGUAGUUUUUUGGGAGAUAUUACACUUACAUAUAUCUCGUCCCCUUUGCCAUUCACCAUAAACCAAUCGACUGAUUUUAAAGAUUAACGGAAACGUUUUGAUCUUCAUAUUUAAAAAUAAGAGCACAACUCUUAGCAACGGAUAUCUUGGUUCUC